AGCAGCCGCGGUAAUUCCAGCUCCAAUAGCGUAUAUUAAAGUUGUUGCAGUUAAAAAGCUCGUAGUUGAAUUUCGGGAUCAGUACGCUGGUCGUGCCUUUGGUAUGUACUGGUGUCACUGAUUCCUCCCUUCUGAAGAACCGUUAUGCCAUUUAUUUGGUGUGGCGGGAAAUCAGGACUGUUACUUUGAAAAAUUAGAGUGUUUAAAGCAGGCUCGCGCUUGAAUACAUUAGCAUGGAAUAAUGAAAUAGGACGUUUGAUCUUAUUUUGUUGGUUUCUAGGAUCGACGUAAUGAUUAAUAGGGAUGGUUGGGGGCAUUAGUAUUCAAUUGUCAGAGGUGAAAUUCUUGGAUUUAUUGAAGACUAACUACUGCGAAAGCAUUUGCCAAGGAUGUUUUCAUUAAUCAAGAACGAAAGUUAGGGGAUCGAAGACGAUCAGAUACCGUCGUAGUCUUAACCAUAAACUAUGCCGACUAGGGAUCGGAUGAUGUUAUUUUAAUGA
This 500-nucleotide ribosomal RNA is filed under the name uncultured Glomus. RNAcentral's name for it is "SSU rRNA". It matches the Rfam family "Eukaryotic small subunit ribosomal RNA", at positions 569 to 1074 of the family's 1831-position model. Lineage: Eukaryota; Fungi; Glomeromycota; Glomeromycetes; Glomerales; Glomeraceae. The record is from RNAcentral.